RNAcentral lists this transfer RNA (86 nucleotides) under Oscillospiraceae bacterium. RNAcentral describes it as "tRNA-Tyr". It matches the Rfam family "tRNA". From Rfam's summary of the family: Transfer RNA (tRNA) molecules are approximately 80 nucleotides in length. Their secondary structure includes four short double-helical elements and three loops (D, anti-codon, and T loops). Further hydrogen bonds mediate the characteristic L-shaped molecular structure. tRNAs have two regions of fundamental functional importance: the anti-codon, which is responsible for specific mRNA codon recognition, and the 3' end, to which the tRNAs corresponding amino acid is attached (by aminoacyl-tRNA synthetases). tRNAs cope with the degeneracy of the genetic code in two manners: having more than one tRNA (with a specific anti-codon) for a particular amino acid; and 'wobble' base-pairing, i.e. permitting non-standard base-pairing at the 3rd anti-codon position. The record is from RNAcentral. Lineage: Bacteria; Bacillati; Bacillota; Clostridia; Eubacteriales; Oscillospiraceae.
GGGAGAUUUCCAGAGCGGCCAAAUGGAGCAGACUGUAAAUCUGUUGUCUCUUGACUUCGGUGGUUCGAAUCCACCAUCUCCCACCA